This 253-nucleotide ribosomal RNA is filed under the name uncultured bacterium. RNAcentral describes it as "partial 16S ribosomal RNA". It matches the Rfam family "Bacterial small subunit ribosomal RNA", at positions 524 to 776 of the family's 1533-position model. The record is from RNAcentral.
GACGGAGGGUGCAAGCGUUGUUCGGAUUUACUGGGCGUAAAGGGUGCGUAGGUGGUUAGGUAAGACCCGCGGGAAAGACCUGGGCUUAACCCAGGAAGGUCGCAGGUGACUGCCUAGCUAGAGGGCGGGAGAGGAGAGCGGAAUUCCCGGUGUAGCGGUGAAAUGCGUAGAGAUCGGGAGGAAGGCCGGUGGCGAAGGCGGCUCUCUGGAACGUUCCUGACACUGAGGCACGAAAGCGUGGGGAGCAAACAGG